This 74-nucleotide transfer RNA is filed under the name Noviherbaspirillum suwonense. RNAcentral describes it as "tRNA_Val_CAC". It matches the Rfam family "tRNA". From Rfam's summary of the family: Transfer RNA (tRNA) molecules are approximately 80 nucleotides in length. Their secondary structure includes four short double-helical elements and three loops (D, anti-codon, and T loops). The record is from RNAcentral. Lineage: Bacteria; Pseudomonadati; Pseudomonadota; Betaproteobacteria; Burkholderiales; Oxalobacteraceae.
AGGCGCGUAGCUCAGCUGGUUAGAGCACUACCUUCACAUGGUAGGGGUCAUUGGUUCGAAUCCACUCGCGCCUA